RNAcentral lists this ribosomal RNA (596 nucleotides) under uncultured bacterium. RNAcentral describes it as "bacterial SSU rRNA". It matches the Rfam family "Bacterial small subunit ribosomal RNA", at positions 112 to 704 of the family's 1533-position model. The record is from RNAcentral.
AAUGCCUAGGAAUCUGCCUGGUAGUGGGGGAUAACGUUCGGAAACGGACGCUAAUACCGCAUACGUCCUACGGGAGAAAGUGGGGGAUCUUCGGACCUCACGCUAUCAGAUGAGCCUAGGUCGGAUUAGCUAGUUGGUGGGGUAACGGCUCACCAAGGCGACGAUCCGUAACUGGUCUGAGAGGAUGAUCAGUCACACUGGAACUGAGACACGGUCCAGACUCCUACGGGAGGCAGCAGUGGGGAAUAUUGGACAAUGGGCGCAAGCCUGAUCCAGCCAUGCCGCGUGUGUGAAGAAGGUCUUCGGAUUGUAAAGCACUUUAAGUUGGGAGGAAGGGCAGUCAGCUAAUACCUGGUUGUUUUGACGUUACCAACAGAAUAAGCACCGGCUAACUUCGUGCCAGCAGCCGCGGUAAUACGAAGGGUGCAAGCGUUAAUCGGAAUUACUGGGCGUAAAGCGCGCGUAGGUGGUUCAGCAAGUUGGAGGUGAAAUCCCCGGGCUCAACCUGGGAACUGCCUCCAAAACUACUGAGCUAGAGUACGGUAGAGGGUGGUGGAAUUUCCUGUGUAGCGGUGAAAUGCGUAGAUAUAGGAAGG